Molecule: RNA transcript, 1400 nt
Organism: Zea mays
Lineage: Eukaryota; Viridiplantae; Streptophyta; Magnoliopsida; Poales; Poaceae
Gene name: protein aq_1857
Exons: 5
Source: RefSeq, marked validated
GUUAAACUUUUAAAUGAACGGUUUUAUCUAAGCACAUGGGUUAAAUCUGAUUUCUCACAAAAACCGCUUAAACACAAAAGCACGAUUUUUAUAAUUAAUCAUGAUACAUUUCUAACUGCUUCUGGAGUUCUUCAGCCAUGGAGUUGCCCGGAUCCAGAUGUCCUCACCACCCACCACCCACAGGGCACAAGGCCACCACUCACCAGAUACCGAAGCCGUAGCAAAGCAAACUAGCAAAUCAAGGCAAGUCUGGAACGGCCCCACCGAUCCGACCCAAAGCCCAAAUCGGAUUCCCCUCGUUUCUCAUCACGCCACCGUUUACCCGCCGCCGCACUGGCAGCGGCGAUGGCGUCGUCGUCGUCGCGGCCCCUGCUCUGCCGCCUCGCGGAACUGGCCAGCGGCCGCGUCCGCGCCAACUACCGCAUGCUCUCAUCCGCCUUUUCAUCCACUGCCUCCACCGAGAGGGUUUCGCAGUCGCCGGCGGAGCCCGAGGCGGUGCUCAUGACGGAAGGUUGCGUCCGGAGAUUAAAAGAAUUACAUGCUAAAGAACCAUCCUCUGAAGGUAAGAUGCUGCGCUUAAGCGUUGAAGCUGGUGGAUGUUCUGGGUUUCAAUAUUCUUUCGCUCUUGAUGACAAGAAAAACUCAGAUGAUAGGGUUUUUGAGACUGAUGGUGUUAAAUUGGUCGUGGAUGACAUCUCAUAUGACUUUGUAAAAGGUGCCACUGUGGAUUAUGAGGAGGAACUUAUACGUUCAGCGUUCGUGGGACACUUGGUGGCAGGCCUUGAACAAGGUGGGGUUGCAUCACUUGACUCCAGGAUUGACAGCAUCAAUAUUUCAGGAUUGGUGGAAAGAAGCUGAGUGUCAGGUGCAAAAAAUCAGAAAAGUGGUUUCGAUUCUAUGGUGAUUCUUGUGCAUGGUGGCUCUGGAAACAUAGAAAUUUAUGUGUGUUUGAUGGAGCAUCCCCCAACAUCAGCACCAUCAUGCAACAUAUUCAGGAGGAUGUCACCCUGUGGAGCUUGGCAGGAGCUAAAGAUCUCAGGAGGUUUCAACAAAUCCUAGUGCUGUUGGGGGCUGCAGCUGCAAGAGUUCUUUCAUGGUGAAAUAGCUUCAAUUACCUUGAAGAGAUCAAUAAUUGGAAAUAGCAUUCUGUAGCGAAUCAUACGCUUUGGAUCUGAGUGUACAAUUGUUAUUUUUUGGUAGUUCUGAAGACGUUUCUUUUUUAGUUUUGUUACUGUUGGAAACAUCAUCACAAACUGUCUGGUUCAAUCUGUACCCCUCUAACUUGUGAUAGUUGUGAUAUGAUGACAAGUUUAUGUACAUAAUCUUGUAGCUAUUAACAGUUGACUUUAUGUUGCUCCUUAUAAAAUUGCAAAAUAAGACGAACAGUAUUUUUGUAUUGA